CACGUAGGGGGCAAGCGUUGUCCGGAUUUAUUGGGCGUAAAGAGCUCGUAGGUGGUUCGGUAAGUCGGGUGUUAAACCCCCAGGCUCAACCUGGGGACGCCACUCGAUACUGCUGUGACUAGAGUCCGGUAGGGGAGCGUGGAAUUCCUGGUGUAGCGGUGAAAUGCGCAGAUAUCAGGAGGAACACCAGCGGCGAAGGCGGCGCUCUGGGCCGGUACUGACACUGAGGAGCGAAAGCGUGGGCAGCAAACAGG
RNAcentral lists this ribosomal RNA (254 nucleotides) under uncultured bacterium. RNAcentral's name for it is "partial 16S ribosomal RNA". It matches the Rfam family "Bacterial small subunit ribosomal RNA", at positions 524 to 776 of the family's 1533-position model. The record is from RNAcentral.